Molecule: long non-coding RNA, 1960 nt
Organism: Tarenaya hassleriana
Lineage: Eukaryota; Viridiplantae; Streptophyta; Magnoliopsida; Brassicales; Cleomaceae
Exons: 5
Source: RefSeq, a predicted model, not a curated record
CAAAAACGAUCAGAACAUUAGUACAACAAAAAAUUCGAGGCAUAUAGAUUAGUCUUCACACACCAAUUCCAUAAAGCAAAUCCACGAUUUCUUAACAGAAAAAAAAUGUGAAAAAAGAAUUAUAUGCCAAAUUGCCAAUGGCAGAACCGAAAACCUAAAAUUAAACCGACAUUUUUUCUCGGUAAAAAUGGAGACUUCUCUAUAGCGCGCUCUAUCUCUCUCUCUCUCUCUCUCUCUCUCUCUCUCUCCCUCCUCCGGCAGCUGCAUUGCUUCCGCCGUCUCACUCUCAAUUGCCGCCGGAAUUAAUGUUUCCUGCUUCUGCUUCUACUUCUGCUCCGCCGCAGGGUGAGGCUCAAGACCUCCCUCAGGCUUCUUCUGCUCCUGCAGGUGAAGAACCAAAUAAUAGCUUAAUCCAGUAUUGCCGGAACAUAGGCUUACCAAUGCCAGUGCUUCAUGUUGUAAACGAAGACGAAGUGUCUUCUCAUGCCCCGAGAUUCAGGUGUUCUGUUUGGGUGCUUUGGAAAAAAUUUGCUUCCCAAUACAUUCCUACAACAGAGAGCUGCCGAGCAAGAUGUUGCUAAGCUCGCGUUAGAACAGCUACAGCCUAUGAACAAUGCUACUGUGAAUAAAGCUGCAUUGUCUACCGAUCUCUGCAAGAUUCAAUUUUAGGGUUUAUAUAGGGAUGGCGCCUCGCAUCCCAUAGGGGCACCUAGGGUCGCCUCUGAACUUUGCUUUGCCCCCAGGUCUGGAAAAGCGUCAUCAUCUCGCUUGAGCGACUUUGUAAAACCCGCAAGUGGCUGCCGUAGAACAAAACAAGUCCAGAGUUAUGGCCAAUAAUAACAUGCCAGAAGUGGCGCAUUUAGAGGCUAGGCUAAGACUGAAGGUCAAGGCGGUUCUCGAGUCCUGGCUGAUCAGCAAGGCGAUUCUGGAGCUUUGUGCAAUGAGACUACACCAGAGAUGGUCAAUUCACAGGCUAAGAUGCAUCAUGCAGGAGAGAGCUGGUCAUGGAUCCUGGCCUGUAAGCAAGACUGUUUCCGAGUCUUGACUGAUAAGCGAGGUGACUCUGGAGUAUUGGGCAAUGAGAAAACUCAAGGGAUGAUGAAUCCACAGGCUAGACCAAAGGAGCAAGUUGGUCAUGGAGUCCUUUCCCAUAAGCAACGCGGUUUGAGUGUCCUUGCUGCCAAGACACUGAACCAAACCAGGCAAACAAGAUAUGUCAGGUCUGUUUCAUGUCUUGAGGUCCUCUAUGAAGCGACAAUGAUGUAGAAAGUACAAGGCAAACAAGAGAUCGCAGCAAACGGAGAGCAACUAUUUCCAGAGUCAAUCAUGGUCAAUAGUAUGCCAGAAUCAAUGAAUUCCGAGUCUAAGACUGAAGAGCGAGGAGAUUCUGGAGCAGUGGGCAAUUGGGACUACUCCAUAUGUGGUGAUGAAUUCACAGGGUAAGACGCAGGAGCAAGCUGGUGAUGGAGUCAUGGCCCGUGUGAACAUGGAGUGAUUGGCUCAUGGACUGACGCUUAUGAGGAGAAAAGGCUCUGGCAAGAGUUUCAAAGCAAUGGCGAUUCUGGAGCAUCGGGCAAUGGGAAUACACCAUGCUGGCACGUCAGCAAACCUUCUUCUCUCAAAGGGUUUAGGGUAUAAACCCUAAACGCCGAACUCACCCCGUUCUCGUUCUGACCCCGUCUUUGCCCUAUCGAUUCUUGAUUGCAAAGCUUUCGCCUAACCUUUUCUGCCUUUUCACGAUUUCGCAGGACGGUAUCAGUAUGUGUGGUUUCACCCAUUUCGGUUUAGGGUUUUCAGAUAUGUAAAGGUGAAAGUACGUAUUUUGCUUGAGAAAUUGAACUUCGAUCUUGUUUUCUUGUUUUUAACGCUAAUUUUUGUUUUUUUUUUUUGUUUUCGAUCGAUAGAAUUGUCCGAACCCGAAGUUGUUUAUAAUAUAGAAUCCCAAAAGUCGGUUAUAUUA